Molecule: long non-coding RNA, 1991 nt
Filed under: Chinchilla lanigera (long-tailed chinchilla)
Lineage: Eukaryota; Metazoa; Chordata; Mammalia; Rodentia; Chinchillidae
Description: lncRNA (ENSCLAG00000027307.1)
Source: RNAcentral
GUUUAAUGAUAAACUAAAUUUCCAAUUCUAGUCCAAAUUAGUCAAGGAAAACUAUAGAAACAGGCUAUCUUGGGACUGAGAAAUGGAAUAAGCUAAUAAAGGUCCCAAGAAUCAAAUUUAAUUUUGGUUCAUGUGGAUUUUGGUAAAUAACUUUCUUUUCCUGAGGGUACAGGACAAAGUGACACUGAGAGAGAGAGCCACCUUGGUCUCUUUCUACCUCUGGCAGCCUGCAAGGCAAUGCUGUAAUCCAGGGCUCUGUGAGAUUUUGCCGAGUUUCUUCCGGUUAGCUUGUGAGGCACCAUUUGCUUUCUUGUUUGUGCUCUUGUUUCAGAUUGCUCUGGGCUCUUAGACAGAACCGAGCGAUGAAAAUUUUAGUAUGGCUGAUGCUGCGUGGGAGUCACAUCUUUUGGGGGUGUGCUUUCAACUGCUGAAAAAGAAAAGAGAAGAGGAGGAGGAAGAGAACGGAAAAAUUGUAAACCCAGGGAAUUCUCUGAGACAGGAAUAUCUUCUUGAUGUUUUUAUUCUUGAUUCUAAGCAGCGUAAGGCUUAAUGUUCAAUAAGCCAAUAUUUUCCAAGUUAAAAAAAUACCAGCUGCUUUUUUUUUAUUCCCCUUGUCAGUUUAGAGAAAAUAUUCAGCAAAGCUCAGCAGCAGGAGACAUUUCAAUUACUGCACCAUUUAGUAAAGCAAAAAUCCUAACUGAAAGAAACAUUGCAAAUGUAAAUAGCAAGAAAUUGGCUUCCCAUUCCAUUCAGAUAGCAGCAGAGAGAAGUAUUCUAGAUAUCACCCACCUUCAUAGUGAAAAACCUGAGUGCAGAAAAGGAACUAAACUCACACAGCCUUACACACACAAGAUGAAAAUUGAAAUGGGUAACUGUAAGUGGACCAGUGCCAUACUGUUUUACACACGGGGCUGUACACUGACCUCUGAUUCUGUGGCUGUAAGUGGAAGUUACAGGUGAUGUUGAAACAGUAAUUUCAGAUUCUACAUAAGCAACUGAACUCUGUACACUUGGGAAAAUCUAUACACCUGCGUUCCGUGGACUCCUUUGGUCAGAGCAUCAUCAAGAGAAAUCGAUCUGCUCUCCAAGGUUCCUUGGUGAAUUAGGUAGAAGAUGUACUGGAAGGUCCUAGACUGUUCACUUCAUGGAAUUAUGCUACUAUCUGCAUGAUGCCAUGGGAAGACGCUGUGUGCUUUGAGCAUAUGUUUUCAUUUGGGUAUUAAGAAACAUUUGUUUCUCCUCCAUUGGAUUUUGAAAGAAGGAAGCAAAUGUGUUAAAAAGCUACAGUAUUCUUCUUGUCCAUUUGUGAAAGCAGAGUGUUUACAAGCCUUCUUUUAUUGACCAGCCCCCUCUCCAAGCAGGAGGUAGUUAUUAUUUGCAUUUUUACAGUGGAAGAAACAAACGGAGUGAGGUUGAGUCAUUCACUCAAGGCCAAACAACUAGCAAAAGGCUUUGCAAGAUAAAGUUGCAUGUUGCUGAUGGAAAAGCCCAGGAUAUUUCUGAGCACAGAAGAUACCAGCUGUGAAUGUAGACUGGAGCCCUGUAUCCACAUACUCCUUUUCUAUGGUACCCAGGUGGCAAGACUGGCUCUGAGGAGCGAGAGGGAAAGCUAAGUGACAGGAUGCCCAGAAGUGGCAGGAGUCAGCCUGCGGAGCGGUCCUCACCUCACACUCUGUUCCGUCUAUCACCUAACAUGUAUUGACUACACCGGGGCCAUCUUGGUUCCGCAGAAUUUUUGAGGGAAUAGCUGGCUGAAGAAAAGCACCAGCAAUCAUCUCAACCUAAGAGCCUACACUUAUUAACAUGUAAAUAGAUAUACAAUUAGUUGCAAUUUAGUAACUUAUAAGUAGAUUUAAGGGUUGGGGAACUAAGAACAGUUGGUAAAAUGAUCAAUAUUAAUUAUUUCUCUUCAGAUGUGUAACUGUACAGAUUUUUAAUUUAAGGUAAUUGAACAUCAGACACUGCUUCCCUGUUCUUUAUUGUUGAUAUAU